Non-coding RNA from Bacteriovorax sp. BSW11_IV, 352 nucleotides. Lineage: Bacteria; Pseudomonadati; Bdellovibrionota; Bacteriovoracia; Bacteriovoracales; Bacteriovoracaceae. The record is from Rfam.
CGAGUCAGUGAGAUCAUCGCCGGAAAACUUCGGUUUUCGGGAGGAAAGUCCGGGCAUCGUAUGGCAAUGUAGCGGUUAAUGGCCGUCCACCGUGAGGUGAGGACAAGUGCAACAGAAAGGAAGUACAGGGGUCUGAGGACGUUUAUGGUAGCUUCGGCCGGGUAAACUCCGACGGUUCGUCCACCUGCUGUAGUGAAAACAGGUAAACUCUACGUGAUGCAAGCCCAAAUAGGUCUGUGCUUGAAGGUUGCCAGCCUGAGCAGACGGGUUGGGUGCUUGAGCCUAUCGGUAACGGUAGGCCUAGAUGAAUGAUGGUCCUCGACAGGACCCGGCUUACACGCUGGCUCGGUUU